AGUAGAGCGGCGCACGGGUGAGUAACGCGUGGAUAAUCUACCCUGAAGAUUGGGAUAACAGUUGGAAACGACUGCUAAUACCGGAUACCCUGCAUAUUUAACUUUAUGUGGUAAAGGUGGCCUCUAUUUAUAAGCUACCGCUUUGGGAUGAGUCCGCGUCUCAUUAGCUUGUUGGUGGGGUAAUGGCCUACCAAGGCAACGAUGAGUAGCUGGUCUGAGAGGAUGAUCAGCCACACUGGGACUGAAACACGGCCCAGACUCCUACGGGAGGCAGCAGUGGGGAAUAUUGCGCAAUGGGGGAAACCCUGACGCAGCGACGCCGCGUGUAGGAAGAAGGCCUUCGGGUCGUAAACUACUGUCAGGAGGGAAGAAACUGUUAGGGUAUAAUACGCCCUUUCACUGACGGUACCUCCAAAGGAAGCACCGGCUAACUCCGUGCCAGCAGCCGCGGUAAUACGGAGGGUGCGAGCGUUAAUCGGAAUCACUGGGCGUAAAGCGCACGUAGGCGGCGCAUCAAGUCAGGCGUGAAAGCCCUCGGCUCAACCGAGGAAUUGCGUUUGAAACUGGUGCGCUGGAGUCUCGGAGAGGUUGGCGGAAUUCCAGGUGUAGGAGUGAAAUCCGUAGAUAUCUGGAGGAACACCGGUGGCGAAGGCGGCCAACUGGACGAGUACUGACGCUGAGGUGCGAAAGCGUGGGGAGCAAACAGGAUUAGAUACCCUGGUAGUCCACGCUGUAAACGAUGGAUAUUAGGUGUCGGGGGUUACCUUCGGUGCCGCAGUUAACGCGUUAAAUAUCCCGCCUGGGGAGUACGGU
Molecule: ribosomal RNA, 813 nt
Filed under: Desulfovibrio sp. PR4_H11
Lineage: Bacteria; Pseudomonadati; Thermodesulfobacteriota; Desulfovibrionia; Desulfovibrionales; Desulfovibrionaceae
Description: bacterial SSU rRNA
Rfam family: Bacterial small subunit ribosomal RNA
Source: RNAcentral